GCCCCGCGCGGGCACCCCCGGGAGCGCCCCGGGCCGGCGGGCACCCCCGGAUACCUGGCGGCGGCGGGCGGGCGCCGUCAUCCCCGCGCUCCUCGGCCCGAGCGGGACUCGAAAAGGCUCCCGUCUCAACUCUGCAACGCAGGGGCCCUCCUUGGAGCUGCUCCUUCUCCAUCCCCUGGGCGGCCGCCACCGCGCUGGGCUGGCCUCGGCGGGGCUUAGGCGGCCCAAGUUAUCACCGAGCCCCAGAGACACCAGGCCCGGGCUGUGCUUCCUCCAACAAGCCACUGACACGCUUCCUUCCCACUGUUCAUACUUUUCCUACAGGGCUUCUGCGAGGGGGGCCUGUUCGUGGCCCUUGGAAACCUCUUUAGACAGAUAGGGGAGGACUGUGGUUUUGGAAAAUAAACAUCACCCCACCCGGCCGGUUUCUGAGGACAAACGUGCCUCCUAACUAGUUGUAGAGAAGACUACUGUAGAGUUAGGGCGUUGCAGAUGAGUUGGGCAAGGCGGGGUGAUAGGGUUGCUGCUGGCUUCUCUCUACGGACUGUGACCUUUGACCUCGGCUCUCCCACUCGGGCUCCUGUGAGGGCACUUGGGUGCCACACAAAGUCGAACACGCCGUCAUGGGUGGGCCUUUGAUUUGCGGCCUCCCGUGGAACUCUGGUUUUCAGGGCUGCAGCUGGAAAGAAGUGUCUGUCUAGGCAUGGAUGAAAUGAAUGGAUUCUGGCCAAGAUAGAACUUUACAGAACCAAGCAAAAACAGUUGGACCAUUACCCCUGACGGGAACUGAUUCAGCUGCUGGUCUCUCUGACGUCCAGAAUCAUCAACAUUAAGUUUUCAGAACCUGUUAUGUUUCCCAGGGUCUACUGUUUACUGAGGAAAACUAGUCAGAGAAACUUCGGCACUUGCAUUUUCCUAUGCCUCCCUCCGCUCCCACCACCACCACCGCCCCCCCAGGUCCCCAAGUGUGUUAUCAAGUGCUUUUGUGAAGACAGGCAUGCCAAAGGAGGAACAGGCGGGUCUCUAAGCAGAAGUAAUAGUUCACACGGUCACCAGAGAAUUGGUGUCUGGAGCUUCUGAGUUGUAACCUGUUCCCGUGAGAAGGCAAAAAGGAAGGCCAAGGAGGGAAUGCUAGUUUAUUUAGUUGCCUUGCCUCAAGAUUCAAGAGUGAUUAGCCAUUCCUCGUCCCCCCCCGCCCCCAGCCAGUGGUAAGUUUUGAAUAGGAACAACAUCAAAAUUGGAAUUUUGCUUAUGAUGUUAGCUUAUUCUGUAAAAAUACACUGAAACCUACAAAGCUGCAUGAAUUCUCAUGACCACUCACCACCUUUAUAACCUCAUCUAAAAAGAACUUAAAAGUAACUUUUCAAAACCAAACUCUAGGGCUGUCUCGCUGGCCCAGUCAGUAGAGCAUGUGACUCCUGACCUCAGGGUCAUGAGUUCAAGCCCCACAUCGGGCAUGGAGUCCCACUUUUAAAAAAAUAAAAAUAAAAAUUGAAUUCUAAUGAUA
Long non-coding RNA from Canis lupus familiaris (dog), 1507 nucleotides. RefSeq lists it as uncharacterized. The record is from RefSeq and is a predicted model, not a curated record. The transcript has 2 exons. NCBI's taxonomy places the organism in Eukaryota, Metazoa, Chordata, Mammalia, Carnivora, Canidae.